Molecule: ribosomal RNA, 301 nt
Filed under: uncultured bacterium
Lineage: Bacteria
Description: partial 16S ribosomal RNA
Rfam family: Bacterial small subunit ribosomal RNA
Source: RNAcentral
CAGUAGCCGCGGGAAAACGAAGGGUGCAAGCGUUACUCGGAAUUACUGGGCGUAAAGCGUGCGUAGGUGGUGGUUUAAGUCCGUUGUGAAAGCCCUGGGCUCAACCUGGGAAUUGCAGUGGAUACUGGGUCACUAGAGUGUGGUAGAGGAUAGUGGAAUUUCCGGUGUAGCAGUGAAAUGCGUAGAGAUCGGAAGGAACAUCUGUGGCGAAGGCGACUAUCUGGGCCAACACUGACACUGAGGCACGAAAGCGUGGGGAGCAAACAGGAUUAGAUACCCGCGUAGUCCCUGUCUCUUAUAU